This 285-nucleotide ribosomal RNA is filed under the name uncultured prokaryote. RNAcentral's name for it is "partial 16S ribosomal RNA". It matches the Rfam family "Bacterial small subunit ribosomal RNA", at positions 355 to 636 of the family's 1533-position model. The record is from RNAcentral.
CAACGAAUCUUCCCCAAUGCCGGAAACGGUGAGGGAGCGACGCCGCGUGAAGGACGAAGUUCUUCGGAAUGUAAACUUCUGCAAGGGUCAUGAAAGCCUUAGGGCUAAUAUCCCAAAAGGUUGAUCUGACCCCUAAAAGGGGCGGCUAACUCUGUGCCAGCAGCCGCGGUAAUACAGAGGCCCCAAGCGUUACUGAGAAUCACUGGGUUUAAAGGGGGCGUAGGUGGCGCGUUAAGUCCGUUGUGAAAGCCCUGGGCUCAACCCAGGAACUGCGUCGGAUACUGG